GAUGAACGCUAGCGACAGGCCUAACACAUGCAAGUCCGAGGGGCAUCGGGGCGAGGAGCAAUCCUUGCCGCCGGCGACCGGCGCACGGGUGAGUAACGCGUAUGCGACCUGCCCGUUUGCAGGGGGAUAAUCGGGAGAAAUCCCGUCUAAUACCGCGUAACGCCGCGGGGCUGCAUGGCCCUGCGGCCAAAGGAAGCGAUUCCGGCAACGGAUGGGCAUGCGUGACAUUAGCUAGUUGGCGGGGCAACGGCCCACCAAGGCGACGAUGUCUAGGGGUUCUGAGAGGAAGGUCCCCCACACUGGUACUGAGACACGGACCAGACUCCUACGGGAGGCAGCAGUGAGGAAUAUUGGUCAAUGGGCGCGAGCCUGAACCAGCCAAGUCGCGUGAGGGAUGACGGCCCUACGGGUUGUAAACCUCUUUUGUCGGGGAGCAAAUUCCGCCACGUGUGGCGGAGUCGAGAGUACCCGAAGAAAAAGCAUCGGCUAACUCCGUGCCAGCAGCCGCGGUAAUACGGAGGAUGCGAGCGUUAUCCGGAUUUAUUGGGUUUAAAGGGUGCGUAGGCGGACUGUCAAGUCAGCGGUAAAAUACGGGGGCUCAACCUCCGCCCGCCGUUGAAACUGACGGUCUUGAGUGGGCGAGAAGUAUGCGGAAUGCGUGGUGUAGCGGUGAAAUGCAUAGAUAUCACGCAGAACUCCGAUUGCGAAGGCAGCAUACCGGCGCCCAACUGACGCUGAAGCACAAAAGCGUGGGUAUCGAACAGGAUUAGAUACCCUGGUAGUCCACGCAGUAAACGAUGAAUACUAGCUGUCCGGGGCGAAUGAGCCCUGGGUGGCACAGCGAAAGCGUUAAGUAUUCCACCUGGGGAGUACGCCGGCAACGGUGAAACUCAAAGGAAUUGACGGGGGCCCGCACAAGCGGAGGAACAUGUGGUUUAAUUCGAUGAUACGCGAGGAACCUUACCCGGGCUCAAACGACACAGGAACGGUCCUGAAAGGGGUCGGCUCUACGGAGCCUGUGUCGAGGUGCUGCAUGGUUGUCGUCAGCUCGUGCCGUGAGGUGUCGGCUUAAGUGCCAUAACGAGCGCAACCCCCAUCGACAGUUGCUAACAGGUUAAGCUGAGGACUCUGUCGAGACUGCCGGCGCAAGCUGCGAGGAAGGCGGGGAUGACGUCAAAUCAGCACGGCCCUUACGUCCGGGGCGACACACGUGUUACAAUGGCAGGUACAGCGGGAAGCCACCUGGCGACAGGGAGCGGAACCCGAAAGCCUGUCUCAGUUCGGAUUGGAGUCUGCAACCCGACUCCAUGAAGCUGGAUUCGCUAGUAAUCGCGCAUCAGCCGCGGCGCGGUGAAUACGUUCCCGGGCCU
RNAcentral lists this ribosomal RNA (1370 nucleotides) under uncultured bacterium. RNAcentral's name for it is "16S ribosomal RNA". It matches the Rfam family "Bacterial small subunit ribosomal RNA", at positions 28 to 1381 of the family's 1533-position model. The record is from RNAcentral.